RNAcentral lists this ribosomal RNA (253 nucleotides) under uncultured bacterium. RNAcentral describes it as "partial 16S ribosomal RNA". It matches the Rfam family "Bacterial small subunit ribosomal RNA", at positions 524 to 776 of the family's 1533-position model. The record is from RNAcentral.
UACGUAGGUGGCAAGCGUUAUCCGGAUUUACUGGGUGUAAAGGGCGUGUAGGCGGGACUGCAAGUCAGAUGUGAAAAUUAUGGGCUCAACCCAUAACCUGCAUUUGAAACUGUAGUUCUUGAGUGAUGGAGAGGCAGGCGGAAUUCCGUGUGUAGCGGUGAAAUGCGUAGAUAUACGGAGGAACACCAGUGGCGGAGGCGGCCUGCUGGACAUUAACUGACGCUGAGGCGCGAAAGCGUGGGGAGCAAACAGG